GAUGAACGCUGGCGGCGUGCCUAAUACAUGCAAGUCGAGCGAACGGACGAGAAGCUUGCUUCUCUGAUGUUAGCGGCGGACGGGUGAGUAACACGUGGAUAACCUACCUAUAAGACUGGGAUAACUUCGGGAAACCGGAGCUAAUACCGGAUAAUAUUUUGAACCGCAUGGUUCAAAAGUGAAAGACGGUCUUGCUGUCACUUAUAGAUGGAUCCGCGCUGCAUUAGCUAGUUGGUAAGGUAACGGCUUACCAAGGCAACGAUGCAUAGCCGACCUGAGAGGGUGAUCGGCCACACUGGAACUGAGACACGGUCCAGACUCCUACGGGAGGCAGCAGUAGGGAAUCUUCCGCAAUGGGCGAAAGCCUGACGGAGCAACGCUGCGUGAGUGAUGAAGGUCUUCGGAUCGUAAAACUCUGUUAUUAGGGAAGAACAUAUGUGUAAGUAACUGUGCACAUCUUGACGGUACCUAAUCAGAAAGCCACGGCUAACUACGUGCCAGCAGCCGCGGUAAUACGUAGGUGGCAAGCGUUAUCCGGAAUUAUUGGGCGUAAAGCGCGCGUAGGCGGUUUUUUAAGUCUGAUGUGAAAGCCCACGGCUCAACCGUGGAGGGUCAUUGGAAACUGGAAAACUUGAGUGCAGAGAGGAAAGUGGAAUUCCAUGUGUAGCGGUGAAAUGCGCAGAGAUAUGGAGGAACACCAGUGGCGAAGGCGACUUUCUGGUCUGUAACUGACGCUGAUGUGCGAAAGCGUGGGGAUCAAACAGGAUUAGAUACCCUGGUAGUCCACGCCGUAAACGAUGAGUGCUAAGUGUUAGGGGGUUUCCGCCCCUUAGUGCUGCAGCUAACGCAUUAAGCACUCCGCCUGGGGAGUACGACCGCAAGGUUGAAACUCAAAGGAAUUGACGGGGACCCGCACAAGCGGUGGAGCAUGUGGUUUAAUUCGAAGCAACGCGAAGAACCUUACCAAAUCUUGACAUCCUUUGACAACUCUAGAGAUAGAGCCUUCCCCUUCGGGGGACAAAGUGACAGGUGGUGCAUGGUUGUCGUCAGCUCGUGUCGUGAGAUGUUGGGUUAAGUCCCGCAACGAGCGCAACCCUUAAGCUUAGUUGCCAUCAUUAAGUUGGGCACUCUAAGUUGACUGCCGGUGACAAACCGGAGGAAGGUGGGGAUGACGUCAAAUCAUCAUGCCCCUUAUGAUUUGGGCUACACACGUGCUACAAUGGACAAUACAAAGGGCAGCGAAACCGCGAGGUCAAGCAAAUCCCAUAAAGUUGUUCUCAGUUCGGAUUGUAGUCUGCAACUCGACUACAUGAAGCUGGAAUCGCUAGUAAUCGUAGAUCAGCAUGCUACGGUGAAUACGUUCCCGGGUCU
This 1371-nucleotide ribosomal RNA is filed under the name uncultured bacterium. RNAcentral's name for it is "bacterial SSU rRNA". It matches the Rfam family "Bacterial small subunit ribosomal RNA", at positions 28 to 1381 of the family's 1533-position model. The record is from RNAcentral.